Molecule: non-coding RNA, 30 nt
Filed under: Mus musculus (house mouse)
Lineage: Eukaryota; Metazoa; Chordata; Mammalia; Rodentia; Muridae
Source: RNAcentral
UGAUUGUAACAAUGUCAGUAUCGUUGGUCU